Molecule: ribosomal RNA, 455 nt
Filed under: uncultured bacterium
Lineage: Bacteria
Description: bacterial SSU rRNA
Rfam family: Bacterial small subunit ribosomal RNA
Source: RNAcentral
UAGUUUGAUCCUGGCCUCGAGGAUAGAACGCUAGCGGCAGGCUUAACACAUGCAAGUCGAACGAGACCUUCGGGUAUAGUGGCGCACGGGUGCGUAACACGUGGGAAUUUGCCUCGGGUAUGGAAUAACUCAGGGAAACUUGAGCUAAUACCAUAUAAUGUCUUCGGACCAAAGAUUUAUCGCCCUGAGNUAAGCCCGCGUAGGAUUAGCUAGUUGGUGAGGUAAAGGCUCACCAAGGCGACGAUCCUUAGCUGGUCUGAGAGGAUGAUCAGCCACACUGGGACUGAGACACGGCCCAGACUCCUACGGGAGGCAGCAGUGGGGGAAUAUUGGACAAUGGGCGAAAGCCUGAUCCAGCAAUGCCGCGUGAGUGAUGAAGGCCUUCGGGUUGUAAAGCUCUUUUACUCGGGACGAUAAUGACGGUACCGAGAGAAUAAGCCCCGGCUAACUCCGUG